Molecule: ribosomal RNA, 1465 nt
Filed under: Thalassophagacarus faime
Lineage: Eukaryota; Metazoa; Arthropoda; Arachnida; Sarcoptiformes; Winterschmidtiidae
Description: eukaryotic LSU rRNA
Rfam family: Eukaryotic large subunit ribosomal RNA
Source: RNAcentral
GAUUCCCUUAGUAACGGCGAGCGAACAGGGAUCGAGCCCAGCGCCAAGUCCUGACAUUUGACAAUGUUUGGGAGAUGCGGCGUUUAUGUGCUGGUGCAUCGCGCUUGUUGCGUGUCUCAAAUGCUCUGGAACGAGAUGCCGCAGUGGGUGAUAGCCCCAUAGAGACGUGCAGCUUGUGUGCCGACCAGUGCACUUUUAGAGUCAGGUUGCUUGAGAGUGCAGCCUAAAGCAGGUGGUAAACUCCAUCUAAGGCUAAAUAUUACAGCAAGACCGAUAGCAAACAAGUACCGUGAGGGAAAGUUGCAAAGAACUUUGAAGAGAGAGUUAAAAAGGACGUGAAACCACUGGCAGGUAAACGGGUGGAACCACGAAGUGUGCCCGCCCAACCAAUUCAAUCAAAGCCGUACGCUGGCUGUGCUCGAGUUGUGCCUUUGCGGAGGUUGCUCGCAGUGCCGUUUGUAGUGUGCGGCGUUGGUGCAUUUUGUGUUGGCGGUGCUAAUGCCACGUCCGACUAGGUGGUUGGGAUGGCCGUAGUGUAGGCACCAAGGAAGGUGGCAGUCGCAAGCGCUUUGUUUGUGGCUGUGUUAUAGCCUUGAGCCUAUGCCAUCGCCUAACGUGCUGGUCGGUAGAUUGAUUCCACYUUGGAAUGAUGCUUGUAGAGGUUGUCUGUGCUGCAGGCGUCGCGGUCGCUACAUCCGGUUGGACAUUUGCGUGUCUCUGGCGCGUAAAGACGACUGUUAUGGCUGCGAUCUAGGCGUUUGUUGUAUGACUGGCAGCUGAACAAACGGUGGCACGAGUAGGUCGGUCUCCACCCGACCCGUCUUGAAACACGGACCAAGGAGCCUAUCAUGUACGCGAGUCGCUCAGUCUUGCUUAGGCUUGUGAGGCGCAAUGAAAGUAAUUGUUACGAGGUUCGCGCUUGCGUGCCGCAGUAACAGCCCGCCGGCUUUGUUUAAUUGGCAAUAUGGCGGAGUUGGAGCGUACACGAUGGUACCCGAAAGAUGGUGAACUAUGCCUGGGCAGGACGAAGCCAGAGGAAACUCUGGUGGAGGUUCGCAGCGGUUCUGACGUGCAAAUCGAUCGUCAGACCUGGGUAUAGGGGCGAAAGACUAAUCGAACCAUCUAGUAGCUGGUUCCAUCCGAAGUUUCCCUCAGGAUAGCAGGCGCUUGCUUUGUCACAGUCUCAUCCGGUAAAGCUAAUGAUUAGAGGUCUUGGGGACGAAACGUUCUCAACCUAUUCUCAAACUUUAAAUGGGUGAGAUGCCUGACUUGCUUAACAUAUUUGUAUGUGAAGCCAGGCAAUUGGAUGUAUGAGUGCCUAGUGGGCCAGCUUUGGUAAGCAGAACUGGCGCUGUGGGAUGAACCAAACGUCGAGUUAAGGCAUCAAAUGCGCACGCUCAUGAGAUCCCAGAAAAGGUGUUGGUUGCUAUAGACAGCAGGACGGUGGCCAUGGAAGUCGGAAUCC